Vicia faba (fava bean) is the source of this 330-nucleotide non-coding RNA. The record is from the annotation of a GenBank genome assembly. Lineage: Eukaryota; Viridiplantae; Streptophyta; Magnoliopsida; Fabales; Fabaceae.
AUGCACAUGAAAUGCAACAUUGCUCCAAACUUGCCAAUUUUGCAAUUUCUGUCUAAAAUACCCUCCCAACAAAUUAGAGGACUUGUUCACCACUUUACCUCACUCCAGACUCUCUAUAUAUCAUUCUUGUCAUUGUCAUUCCAUCAGGGAUAUGUUUUUGAGAGAGAAAGAAGAUCUGAGCUGGUUGCCUCAAGAAGAAAAGUUAUCUUUGAAUCUUCAUUUUUCUCUCGAGCAAGCUUCAUUCUAGAAUCACUCACUCAUUUCAAGCUCCCUGAAGAUUAUAAGGAAAGUUGUUAUGGGCCUCUUAAGCUAAGGAGUUUAAAGAAGUAG